Long non-coding RNA from Macadamia integrifolia, 3104 nucleotides. RefSeq lists it as uncharacterized. NCBI's taxonomy places the organism in Eukaryota, Viridiplantae, Streptophyta, Magnoliopsida, Proteales, Proteaceae. The transcript is spliced from 3 exons. The record is from RefSeq and is a predicted model, not a curated record.
CUUCUGUCUCUCUCUCUGGCUCAAAUGAAAAGUUUUCACUCUCGUGAGCCUUCUGGCUCUCUGUCUCUCUCUCAAACGACUCCAUAGCACUGCUAAAGCUGCAUCAGUAGCUCCAAUGAACCUGGUCGCCAAAUCUCGUCAGCCCACUUCAUCUCGUGAAAGUGGAUAUGCUCGUGAACCCUUAAAAACCCUCAAAAGCUCUUCUAAAGCACAAUCAAUCCGACCAUUAAAGACUGUAGCUUUUGGCGACAAGCCAAGGAAGAAGCAGAGAUCUGUGAACACAUGCUUCUCUUCUCAACCUCAAACGACUCCAUUUCCCUCUACAACUUGAGAGAGGGAGAGAAGACAAGGAGAAUAGAGGAGUUGGAGAGGUUUUACUAGGGUUUUGGUUCCUUGCUUCUACAGGAAAGAUACAUAAAAGAGGCUUGAACCAAAUAGAUCUUCAGCUGUCACACCCAGGUUUACUUCAAUUAUACGGGAAGGUACUCUUAUGCCAUCAACAUCAAUUUUGAGCAAUACCCAGAUUUCUACCAUCCAUAUAUCAAUAGCAGGAUCUUGCUUAUGAUUUAAAAGGGAAAAAAGAAUGCAAAAGGAUGUAAACAAUUCAGGAAAAAAGAAUCAUUGAAGCACAUGGAUGAAAGGGGGAAGCAUAGCUACAAAUUCCUCAUUCAUCAGAAGCUUUACCAUCUAAAACAGACUGUAGAAUCAUUGCCUUUGCAGUGGAAUCAGUUGAAAAUCUACCAAGUACAACAACUGUGGCUGUACUACUUCCCAUCUUUUCAAUUGUGUUUUAGGUGUGCAAGUUUAUGGAAGUGGCUUGAAAUGUGUGUGGACUAUGGUGUCUGGUAGCCAUGUUCCCUUGAUAAGAAAAAAUCAACAGUUAAUAUGGGAAGUCAGGAUCCAUUCUUGUAUAAACUGACUUGGUUUUAAAUGGGGAAGAAGUAUGUGUUGUUGAAUCCCCCUUUGCUGUAGCCCUCUACCAUGAGUGUGAACUCAAACCUGAAAGCACAUAAGCCCAUCCUGUCUCCUCAUAGAGCUCGUGGCUUGCCAUUCUGUCCCUUAUCUCCUUCAGUUCUGCUUCAAGCCAGUUGUAGAGACCAUCUCUUGCUUGAGUUGAUGCUCAAGCUAAUAUGGCUGAUCUAUUAGCUGCAACAAUGGAUUGUACACCCUCUUGCUAUUGUAAUUUCUCUAUCUAGCAUUAUGACCUUAGUAUUGUUACAUCCAGAAAAAAUACACAUUUAACAGAAAGCCUUUAAAAUAUACACAUUUAACAGGAAGCCUUUAAAAUAUACACAUUUAACAGAAAGCCUGCUCAAUUUGUUACCUGUAACCUGUGACCAAGUGAUGAAGAAAUAUGGCUACUGCUCAAUUUGUUACCUGUAACCUGUGACCAAGUGAUGAAGAAAUAUGGCUAAGUGUAACUUAGCAAAUUCUGCUCCAACACAAAAUCCAUUGUUGCACCACCGAAAGCUAUGAAAUUGGACCUAGCAUUUGUUUCCAUAUUUUGUGUUUUAACAUGAAAUGUUAAUAAAUAUUGAUUGUGACAUGGAUUAUAUCAAUUCAUUUGCUUCAAAAUGCCAAAAAUUACUUGUUUAGUUAGAUGGAUUUGUAUCCAUAUGCAUAUAUUAACCUUAUUCCUGUCUUGUUCUACAAUUAAAAUUACUGAAUUAUAUUAAUCUGGUAAAAUUUCCUUGUGCCAAGAUUCUGGAUCCAUCUCAUCUGAAAUUAAUGCUACUGUACAACUACUGAUGCUUGUGGGCUGCCAUGUGGUAUAGUUUGUUUUUAUCAAUGUGUCUCCCCCAGUAAUUUGGAUUUUUGUUGGAAUAAGGUGUUGGAUGUUGUUGUCGUUGUAUUUUCUCUUAUAUUAUGUGCCUGAUAGCAAUGUAGCCUCUUAUUUGGAAUAGAAUUCUGUUUAUGUUGUUUUCAAUUCCCAAGAUUUUACAAAGCUUUUUGUUACCCCAAUAUACUUUAGAUGGAUCAAUUUAUGUAGAGAGUAAUGAGUAUGUUUAUGUUUAUGUUUGUACAUAAUGUGUAUUUUUCAACUUAUUCAAAUGUUUAACUUUAUGCAUUAUUUAUGUAGAUAGUAAUGAGUACUAGAAGAACCCCUACCCCUACUUCAUCCACUAUUAUCUGGAAUGCUGCUGAGGUACAAGCAUAUUCAUCAACUUAAUGGUUGAGAAUGUGAGGAAUGGUCAAAAGACCAACUCAACGUUCACAAAGGUAGCAUGGGAUAAUAUAAUAAAGGGAAUGGAAGCCAAAUUUAAGCGACCUUUUGGGAAGGAGCAACUCCGUAAUAAGAUGAACAAAUUACGGGGUGACUACAAUAGCUUCAAGGGUCUUUUGGAAACAACGAGAUUUGGCUAAGAUUCAAAUACCAGGACUGCUACAGCUGAAGAUUUUGUGUGGGAGGGUGUUAUUAAGGCAAACCCAGCAUGGCUAAAUAUAGAAUGCAAGGACUUCUAUGGUGGCUAGAGUUGUUAGAGAUUUUCUUCGACUUAAGUGCUUGUGGAGCUAGAGGUCUUUUGCAGUCCACUGCAGCUAUUCCAAGGACCACAAAUCUGGGACUUGAUCAAGAUGACCUUGAGGAGACUGAUGUUGAUGAAGAGGUCAAUCCAACUGCACCUAAGAGGAGACUUGAUAGGAUGCCUACAGAUUGUAGGAAGAAGAGCCAAUCAAGGUCCAUUACCAACUCUGUCAUUGUCUUUAGGAAAUUCGUGGCUUGGAGAAUGGAGAAGGGUGCAUCCAUUGCUGAUUCCGCAACAGUCCGACCUGCUAAUCCAUGACAACGUAAUCCGUUGUCAGAAACUGUUAGACACCCUAGAAGAUAUUUCAGAAUAGUUGUAUGUGAUGGCUCAACAGAAAAUACAGUGAUGUUGCUUGGUGACUGUCAUUCAUGGAAGUGAUUACGGAGAGGAGGAUGUGGAUGAUAAAGCACUUGAAGUAGUGUUUUUUAAAUGACUUUAAUUUUACGUGGCUUUUUGGACACUCAAGUUUUGUUUUUUUGGACAACUUGUUAAUGUUUUUAUGUUUAAUGACUUUUUUAGUGCUUGUUCUUUGUGCCCACUCUACUCAUGGUUGUUUGAAUGAAUUUCCUUUUACUUUCA